CAAUUGUGCUGUAUAUUUACAUUAAAAUUGUAAUCAAUAAUUUUCAAUACACCUCUAAAUUUACAGUCUAAAUGGCAACCAAAAUUGCCAAGUUAAUACAUUUUAAUUAUUAAUUUAAAGUCUUACCACCAACCAAAAUUGCCAGUAAGUUACUGUUACUUCCAGUCAAUUCCAGUAGUUUACUGUAAAUGUUACAGUAAAUUAUAAUUAGUACUUUACAAUGCGCUUGCACAUUUACAGUACUGUAAAUUUCACAGUAAAUUGUGAUUAUUAAUUUACAAAAAACUAAUGAAUUUACAGUGCGCUUGUAAAUUUACAGUUUUACUGGCAACCAAAAUUGCCAGUAAGUUAUUUUAAAUGUUACAAUACAUU
Molecule: non-coding RNA, 372 nt
Organism: Danio rerio (zebrafish)
Lineage: Eukaryota; Metazoa; Chordata; Actinopteri; Cypriniformes; Danionidae
Source: Ensembl